UGUUAUCGCUUUGUGUCAUCUUAUCAACAAACAAGUUUGUUCAUUUUCGCUGCUCGUUUCGUGUUUCCCCCGGUUGGCACGGGGUAGGGAAAAAUCAGAGCAAAAAAAAACUUUUACCUACGUGAUUCUACCGCCGAGUUUUAGUUUCAUACGUGCGUGCGUUCGUGUGUCCGUGUUGGUCCCGGUGCUUCAUCCAUCAUUUUCCGGUCUCAAGGGUUCGAAACGUCUUGGCAGAUUCUCAGUUUGAAGGAGCGAGAGAGAGAGGCAAAAACACACUCAGAAACCCACAUUUAUUGGCCUUGAUUCUGCAUAAUUUCAUCAUUACGAGCCGCCGCAAUCACAUUUCGCCUCAAUCAUCAUCGGUUCUAAUCUAACAAAUCCCAGUAUCCGGACCCUUCUCGUUCGGGACCCUGACGCGGCAUCGUAAAUCUAACGAAAUAAACGGGUUAUUUGUUGUGUCGCCGUCGUCGCCAAUAUGAACCACCAGAACUAUGUGCGAAAAUGUGAAGAGUAUUUGCAAAAUAUUCCGGCCACCGGCCAAAAGCGAAAUGCUGACAGUGGACGACGGCCGAUAACGGCUGUCGGUGCCGGUCAAUAUCCAUCAUCCCGCAAGUUGACCCAGCCAGCGUCGUCGAUUAUUGGCCAGCGCCGGCUAGAAAAACAGCCAAUCAAUAAUGCUGUAGCCGGCAGUGGCGUCACUGGAUAUUCGCCAUUGACUGGCAAAGGUAGACAAAGGCCUUUGCCUCCCGGUACCAACAUCGGAAGCUCGGCGGAGGGAGGACAAAAGCAGACCGAAAGACAAUCGGGUUCCAAAUUUGUUCGGUCCUGCUGUCGCCAACUGCGUCCCAGCACUGCUAGUGCUGCUGGCAAGGACAGAAAUCCGCGGGAUAAUCAGGGAAGAGAAAAAGUCACCGAUAGUGUCAAUCAGGCUGACAAUAUCAAACCGAUGGAAAGUGACGCGGAUUAUGAUGGAGCAGUAAAUCUCGGUACGGACGCGGAGAUUCCCCAGUCGGAAAGAAGCGGUGGCGCCGUAGCAGAGAUUUGGAGCGGAAUUCUGCAGCCGACACCGGCGGCAUCCGUAAUAGAAAAGUCCGUUCCGAUAGCAGCAUUUCCCACGAGGCGCACUUCGCUAUCGUCGUCCUCUCGGCCCACCAGUUCCGUGGCAGCCAUUCCACCCCAGCCGAGGCCAUCGGUUGCUACCUUGACUCCUGGUCAACAGCAGCGGCAGAACGGGCGCAGAUCACCCACACUGGAAGGGAUUAAUUUAUUCCAUUUCGAUCCACUGCGGACACUCCAGUUCCUGACACUGGAGCUCAAAUCGAAGCUGAAGGAGCACUGUCCAGAGCACAAGCAACUUUAUAAAAUCUCCAAAGAGCUGCUGUACGCGUUGAAAAUCUUAACGGAGAGUCUUACCAGCGACGGACCGCCAAAGAAGUCACCCGCAAGCUGUGCGAACUGCGAGAAGGCAUUGCUACGCGUCUCAUGCCGGGACGUUGCCAUCCAGUCGACGGAAAUCCCCCCCGCUGAGCCAUUGGAAUCGGUAACCAAUCAAAAACAACAGCAACUACAGCAAGAAGAACAUUUGGAGCGGGAAAUAGAGCGAUUGCAAGCGUUGAUAAAUGACAAGCAAACGGCGGAGGGCGGUCUUAUCGCCGAUCUUAAUCGGAAGCUGCAGGAAGCCACCAGUCGCUGCCACCGUCUCAGUCAAGCCCGGGAAGAUGCCGAGAAGCGGUUACUCUACACAACCCUUGAAAACGAACGGCUGAACUUUCUGGUGAGCACCCAAUCAUCGACCAUGACCAGUUUGCGGAGCGAUUUCAGUAGCAUUCAAACACUGGCUAACCAGCAAAUCGACUUACUGGAUCGAACCCGAAGCCCCACACCACCGAGUGCUCUCGAUGGCAUCGACAGCGUCCGAAGUACCACUUGGCCAAAGAAAGCAAACGCCAGCACCAAUAAUCACCAUCGCAAUUAUCGUCACCCUUCCGGUGGUAUUCCCCGCAUCCUGUCGCUCCAUUACAGUGAGCCAAAUUGCGCCAUCAACAGCACCGUCACCGCAGAACGACAGCAAAAACUAGCAUCUGGGCCCGUAAAUGCCAGGAAGCUACGGCAUCAUUAUAGCUUUAAAAAUAUCGCUGAAAAAGAAAGUGACGACGGUAAUGAUGCUAACGACUCCAAACUACUGAACGAAGGGAUUACACCGGCUUUCGACGGUGUAAAAACCCACUCAAACGACUACCGCCGGCAACAACGGUGCCAUCAAGGAAGCGGCUUCAGUGAUAGUGCUGAUGCAUUCCAUCAGCAGGAGCCGGGCCGAAAUCGUCAACCACAUCAGCAGCGGAAAAACGAACCCCGGCUCGAAGCGCAGUCGACGUCGUCAUCUUCAACGGCGACGAUUUUCCUUCCUUCAUUGAUAGGCUCAUCCGACGACGGUUCCAGCUCAGCGAGGCGUGCAAUUUUGAUUGAUUCCGAUUUGGAACCGUCGUCGGAGCCCCCGGCCGCAGGGGACACCAUCGCAAGCAGUCACGGUAACGUUCGGCCGAAUACUUCCAGCGCUGAGCAGCCAUCAGCGUUGUGCCCCAUUCCUGCACAACUCGCUGCUUCUUCCCCGGCUGCUUCCGUCAAGACUAAUGACUGCGACAGACUGGGUCGGAAGCCGAUUCAGGACCUAAAUCAACGACAGUCACCGCAUCUAGGGCUGGAUCAGUCUUCGGAGGCAACCGAAAUGAAUACUUUUCACAGCGACGGAGGCAAAUACCGAAGGGAUUAUGGUGAUAAAUUUGAGCUGCGUGAAAGUUGUUUGCCAGCGGGAGAAAAGAAGCUUUGCCAAAAUCGCCCGAUAAUAGGUCAGAUUAGAGACGGAGACCGAAAACGAGAAUUGAUGCUACAACAACAGCAGCAGCAGCAGUUUCAGGCCGGAGGGCGGCCGGGCAACGACGACGGGCUGAUGACUAGCGGGAAGACUAUCUGUGCCGCUGACGAACCCGCUUGCGCCCGGAAGGAGGAGUUUUCUAUUGACUUUGGACCGCCAUAGAGAAAUCCAGUCCAAAUCUGAUCCGCUGCUUCUACGGAGACAAAGACUUCUGCCGGGAGCGUCUGUGUACAAACGGGAAUGACGACGGCGGAUGCCUCCAUAAGUUUAGCCAGGCAGCCCUGGGAUACGUGCCGUGAUAUCAUAUCACCUUCAUCAUCGUUUUGCCGGCGCCUAGCCUAGAUACGAAGCUCCGCCAUAGCCGAUGAUAUAACGCUUCCCUCUUCACCGGCACCGUUUAGUGGUGGAUGUCUGGCGAUGAUUGAUAGUGGAACUAUUCUGGACGA
Wyeomyia smithii (pitcher-plant mosquito) is the source of this 3318-nucleotide RNA transcript. RefSeq lists it as uncharacterized. The transcript is spliced from 8 exons. The record is from RefSeq and is a predicted model, not a curated record. NCBI's taxonomy places the organism in Eukaryota, Metazoa, Arthropoda, Insecta, Diptera, Culicidae.